Molecule: ribosomal RNA, 256 nt
Filed under: uncultured bacterium
Lineage: Bacteria
Description: partial 16S ribosomal RNA
Rfam family: Bacterial small subunit ribosomal RNA
Source: RNAcentral
GUACGUAGGCAGCGAGCGUUGUUCGGAAUUACUGGGCGUUAAAGAGUGUGUAGGCGGUGCUCCCAGUCUGUUGUGAAAUCUCCCGGCUUAACUGGGAGGGUGCAGCGGAAACUAGAGUGCUAGAGGGUGGGAGAGGGUAAGCGGAAUUCCUGGUGUAGCGGUGAAAUGCGUAGAUAUCAGGAGGAACACCUGUGGUGUAGACAGCUUACUGGACCACUUCUGACGCUGAGACACGAAAGCGUGGGUAGCAAACAGG